GCGCAACACUUACAUGGGACCAUACAUGACUCGUCGUUACAAUGGGAUGAUUAAGAAGCAAAACACCGGCAAAACAUUCUUUCUUCAUUCAAUAUAUCUCCGUCAUUUUCGCCUCUUGAUUAAAAUGUUCUCCCUCCAUCGACGAAUCU
Molecule: long non-coding RNA, 149 nt
Organism: Rhodamnia argentea
Lineage: Eukaryota; Viridiplantae; Streptophyta; Magnoliopsida; Myrtales; Myrtaceae
Exons: 3
Source: RefSeq, a predicted model, not a curated record